Molecule: ribosomal RNA, 756 nt
Filed under: uncultured bacterium
Lineage: Bacteria
Description: bacterial SSU rRNA
Rfam family: Bacterial small subunit ribosomal RNA
Source: RNAcentral
AGAGUUUGAUCCUGGCUCAGAAUCAACGCUGGCGGCGUGCCUAACACAUGCAAGUCGAACGAGAAAGUGGAGCAAUCCAUGAGUAAAGUGGCGCACGGGUGAGUAACACGUGACUAACCUACCUUUUAGUGGGGGAUAACCUAGGGAAACCUGGGCUAAUACCGCAUAAUACCUACGGGUCAAAGCAGCAAUGCGCUGAAAGAGGGGGUCGCGGCCGAUUAGCUAGUUGGCGGGGUAAUGGCCCACCAAGGCAGUGAUCGGUAUCCGGCCUGAGAGGGCGCACGGACACACUGGAACUGAAACACGGUCCAGACUCCUACGGGAGGCAGCAGUGGGGAAUUUUGCGCAAUGGGGGAAACCCUGACGCAGCAACGCCGCGUGGAGGAUGAAGUCCCUUGGGACGUAAACUCCUUUCGAUCGGGACGAUAAUGACGGUACCGGAAGAAGAAGCCCCGGCUAACUUCGUGCCAGCAGCCGCGGUAAUACGAGGGGGGCAAGCGUUGUUCGGAAUUAUUGGGCGUAAAGGGUGCGUAGGUGGUUCGGCAAGUCUUGUGUGAAAUCUUCAGGCUCAACUUGAAGUCUGCACAAGAAACUGCCGGGCUUGAGUAUGGGAGAGGUGAGUGGAAUUUCCGGUGUAGCGGUGAAAUGCGUAGAUAUCGGAAGGAACACCUGUGGCGAAAGCGGCUCACUGGACCAUUACUGACACUGAGGCACGAAAGCUAGGGGAGCAAACAGGAUUAGAUACCCUUGUAGUCC